Molecule: ribosomal RNA, 494 nt
Filed under: uncultured bacterium
Lineage: Bacteria
Description: partial 16S ribosomal RNA
Rfam family: Bacterial small subunit ribosomal RNA
Source: RNAcentral
GACGAACGCUGGCGGCGUGCUUAACACAUGCAAGUCGAACGGUGAAGCGCCUUCCUUUUUGGUGGGUGUGGAUGAGUGGCGAACGGGUGAGUAACACGUGAGUAACCUGCCCCCUUCUUCUGGAUAACCGCAUGAAAGUGUGGCUAAUACGGGAUAUUCUGGGUCUGUCGCAUGAUGGGUCUGGGAAAGAUAUUGUUUCGGUGGUGGAUGGGCUCGCGGCCUAUCAGCUUGUUGGCGGGGUGAUUGCCUACCAAGGCUGUGACGGGGAGCCGGCCUGAGCGGGUGCACGGUCACACGGGGAAUGAGACACGGCCAAGCCUGCUACGGGAGGCAGCAGUGGGGAAUAUUGCACGAUGGGCGGAAGACUGAUGCAGCGACGCCGCGUGAGGGAUGGAGGCCUUCGGGGUGUGAACCUCUUUCGCCAGUGAAGCAGGCCUGCCUCGUAUGUGGGUGGGUUGACGGUAGCUGGAUAAGAAGCGCCGGCUAACUACGUG